UACGUAGGGGGCAAGCGUUGUCCGGAAUCAUUGGGCGUAAAGAGCGUGUAGGCGGCUCGGUAAGUCCGCUGUGAAAGUCCAGGGCUCAACCCUGGAAUGCCGGUGGAAACUGUCGAGCUAGAAUCCGGAAGAGGCGAGUGGAAUUCCUGGUGUAGCGGUGAAAUUCGUAGAUAUUCGGAAGAACACCAGUGGCGAAGGCGACUCACUGGACACGUAUUGACGCUGAGGUGCGAAAGCGUGGGGAGCAAACAGG
Molecule: ribosomal RNA, 253 nt
Filed under: uncultured bacterium
Lineage: Bacteria
Description: partial 16S ribosomal RNA
Rfam family: Bacterial small subunit ribosomal RNA
Source: RNAcentral